RNAcentral lists this ribosomal RNA (514 nucleotides) under Aerococcus urinaeequi. RNAcentral describes it as "bacterial SSU rRNA". It matches the Rfam family "Bacterial small subunit ribosomal RNA", at positions 32 to 503 of the family's 1533-position model. Lineage: Bacteria; Bacillati; Bacillota; Bacilli; Lactobacillales; Aerococcaceae. The record is from RNAcentral.
AACGCCUGCGGCGUGCCUAAUACAUGCAAUUCGAACGAACUUCCGUUAAUUGAUUAUGACGGACUUGACUGAUUGAGAUUUUAACACCAAGUGAGUGCGAACGGGUUAGUACACGUGGGUAACCUGCCCAGAAGUAGGGGAUAACACCUGGAACCAGAUGCUAAUACCGUAUACCACAGAAAACCGCAUGGCUUUUCUUUUAAAAGAUGGCUCUGCUAUCACUUCUGGAUGGACCCGCGGCGCAUUAGCUAGUUGGUGAGGUAAAGGCUCACCAAGGCAGUGAUACGUAGCCGACCUGAGAGGGUAAUCGGCCACAUUGGGACUGAGACACGGCCCAGACUCCUACGGGAGGCAGCAGUAGGGAAUCUUCCACAAUGGACGCAAGUCUGAUGGAGCAACGCCGCGUGAGUGAAGAAGGGUUUCGGCUCGUAAAGCUCUGUUGUUAAAGAAGAACGUGGGUAAGAGUAACUGUUUACCCAGUGACGGUAUUUAACCAGAAAGCCACGGCUAACUA